This is a long non-coding RNA of Hypanus sabinus (Atlantic stingray), 5525 nucleotides long. RefSeq lists it as uncharacterized. The transcript has 4 exons. NCBI's taxonomy places the organism in Eukaryota, Metazoa, Chordata, Chondrichthyes, Myliobatiformes, Dasyatidae. The record is from RefSeq and is a predicted model, not a curated record.
UCUGGUUACUGGAACCUUGCUUUGUGGUUGGAGGCAAUGAGGCAUUGGAAUUGCAGAAGACUGAUGGACCUCCCCACCUGGGGACUUGAUACUGCAAUAUUCACAUUAUCCAUGGACGGUGCUUGAGAAAAUUGCACUGUACCAAAGAGGUUGUUGCAGAGAAUUGAAGGCUUCUGGAAGGAAGAAAUGAAUCUUGAGGCAAAGCUAAAGCUGUAUUACUUGUGACAGUACCCCUGCAGGUUCUGUCACCCGCCUAUACACUAGGGAAACUUUGCAGUGCCUAGUUAACCAUCUUUCAUGGUUUGGGAAGUGGAGGAAUCAGGAGCAUCCAGAGGAAAACUACAUGAUCACAAGAGAACUUGCAAAUUCACGGAGACAAUCCAUCAACCUAAACCCCGGGAAUGACUGAAGCUGCUGCACAACAAACUGUGGUCCAUUGUCACUGCCUAAGUGUUCUGGAACACCAGUCCUUGAGAAGAGGCUUCUCAACACGUCAACAGUGUGCGAGGCUGUUGGGAAGACUUCUGACCACUUUGCAGCUGCAUCGGCAAAUACCAAGAAACUUGUGCCCAUGAAUGGUCUGGCAAAAUCCACAUGAAUCCUCACCUGAGGGCAAUGCAGGCAAUUCCCAAGGGUGGAGAGAUGCCUCUCCUGUCAUCUGGACAUGUUGGCAUCCCAAACAGUGGCAAGCUUCUCGAUCUACUGAUUUAUCCCGGGCCACCAGACAAAGCUUUGAGCCAAUGCUUUCAUUUUGACCAUGCCUAUAUGACUGGCAUGUAGCUCCUCCAACACUUCGGCUAUCAUCUUGAUGGUAUAACAAAAUCCCAAAAUAAGGGCACUCUGUCAAGGUGCUCAACGAAUAUGAUGCAAAGUCUAUGGGGCGUUCACUUGCAUCACUCAUAAUGUGACUUGUCUGCACCUACACCACAAGGCUAGGCAACACAAGCAAGCUUCUCUGGACCAUGUGGAUCAUCUAACAUCACCAUUUCCUUUGGAAAGCCACCUCACACUGCUUUGUCCAUUGUUAUUUUUUCCCAAUCUGCGGCAAUGAGUUCCAAGGGUAGAGCACAGUAGUCAGAUUUGGCAGGAACUUGUUAUAGUAAUUGACAAAUCCUAAAAAGAACCACAAUUGUGACACAUUCUUUGGCCUUGUGGCAUCCACCAUUGUUUGAAUUCUCUCAGCACUCUUCUGUAAUCCUUGUGCAUUAAUGGUGUGACCACAGUAAGUGCAGAAGUCAUGUAUCUAUUUCUGUCCAUGGUAACCAUGUAUCCAUUUUCUUUCUGUAUUAUAUUUUGUGGCUCGUACAUUAUCGUCAUCUGUCAUAUGAGUUGGGGCGAGAUAGAAGCUAAUUAGUAUAGUUACAUAUUCACCGUUAGUUGUUUAGUUAGUCUAGUUGAGGGGGAGUGAGACGGAAUGAUUUUUUGUUGACAGUUAAUUGGAACAUUAUUAGAGUGCUUAAGUAGGUAUAGAACACAAAUUCUGAUAUUGCUUAAAUAUACUAACUUCACUUAUUGGAAUGCUAAUUUAGUUCGACUGCUAAUUAUGUUUAGAAUCACUUAUAACACUAAUUAGAAUGCUUAAAUACAUUGCUAAGAUUGCUAUAUCACUAAUUUAGUUUCAUUCAUUUUUUUAUUGAUACAAGAUUGUUCAUCUUUGCUGGUUUUGUAAAAAAGGAUCUAACGUACCUUUGGCAAUUUGGCAGCAUAUCAUACAGUAUCGAUUACCUUGGUUUAGUCUCUCGGUGGUUUUGGUUUGCUUUUGUUAUGGAAAAACUAAGAACACCAGAGCGUCUUCGAGUUUUGUUUUAAGAGUUUAUUAACCUGGUAUCAUGGAGUGGAAAGUCUUCAGCAGUCUCCACUGCCACCAGAACUCUGAAUUCUAGGUUAUACAGAAUUCAUAUUUAUGCAGCAAAACAAACAACUUCACAUAACUUUGUUUGGCAUCCCACGGGCAGUACAAUAUCAAUUGCUUAAAAGACAUGUCAAUUAUUCUCUCAGCGUGAGUUCUCUUUGUUCCCUGUUAUCAAGGCUCAUAAUUUAUCCCUAGACAUAUCCUUUCUCCUGGUUCCAGGGGCCUAAUAUCUUAAUUAUUGAUGUUCCUGGUAUUGUGUUUAUCAUCCGGGGUUAUUCUUGACUCGCAUCAGCAGUCUUAAGCCCAGCUGUUCUAGAACAGUCAAGCAUCCCAUCAGACAUUAGUUUUAACCAUUUCUACCACAGUUUUCAAGUAGCUCCUAAAGCAAGAGAUGCUUAAAGAAACCAAACUUCUUGUGGUUGUCUAAGCCCGUAAUCUUUUAAUCUGUUUAACACUGUUGUGAGGUUUUGGAGAUGUUCCUCAUCAUCCUCACCAGUAACAAUUAUGUCUUCCAGGUUACACUGAGUUCCUGGGCAGCCUUACAGCACCUUAUCCAUAGCUUUCUGCCUGAGUGCAGGUGCAGAUGCUACUCCAAAAAUAAGCUUAUUAAAGUGAUAAAGCCCUUGUGAGUGUUUAUGAUGAAAAACACGUUGGACUCUUCUUCCUCAAAUCAACACAUCCUUCUUGGCUACAUGGUGAACAUCACAUCUACUGUAACGUGUAAUGGAUGGAAUAUCCACAGUGACUCAGGGGACAAUCCUAUGGUAUUUAAGAGGCUAUGAUUGGGAAGGAUCUUUGUGGCAGACAGCAAGGAGAUUCCUUUUAGUUACUGCAUUGGAAUUUGACUCUUCACUCACUGAAGAACAAUUAACAAUAGUCCCUGAUGGAUGAUGCUCUGGAAACAAAGAAGGAAGAAAAAGACAUCUUCCUAAUGACCUGUAUUUUGUAAUUUGUUACCUGAUUUGAUUUGAUUCUCCUUGGGUAUUGACUCCUGUUCGUAUUUUCAACAACCUUCACAAAAAUACAGAUCCUUUCAUCCCUGCAAAUUACUAUCAUAUUUUUCACCCGUCAUUGUCUGCCAAUUCACUUUGUGUGUUUAUCUCCCUCAAUUAUUAUCUUCCCAAAUUUCUUAUCAAAGCCCAUCACAUCAGGUUUUGACUACUGCCAAACUGAAACGUAUCUGAUAGAAAACAUCAACACCAUAAUUUAUAAGGAGAGUCAUCCCUCCUAUUUGUUAGAUGUCAUAGUCUGGGAGAUUAGCUGUGAUUGCCAUCCAGUUGGUUAGGACUGCACAAAUCUCAUUUAGUUUUCACCUAUUUAAUUAAAGCAAGAGAAUCAUUAUCAACAGUUUAUCUUGCUGCUUUUGAUGACCCCAGAGAUGUCUUAGGUCUGAGCCAACAUUACCCAUGAAGCAGGAAUCAGAUUCCACAUGUACAUCAGUUUUGCCUAAUUUCUCGAUUUCAUUGUUUUAAAUUUUUAGAUUUUUGAUUUACAAAAGACAAUGAACAGAAAUUUCAUUCAACUAAAUAUUGGAAAGUGCUAAUCUAUAGGGUGGAGAUCUGUUACUAACUCUGUUACCUAGCAAUGAAUUCCAAACUAUCCACAUAGUAUGUAAAAGUUAAUUAUUUCAGAUCUCAUAUUUGUGCCAUCAUGAAGAUGACCUAUUUCAACCACACUAACACCAUUGCUGUUCAGUUCAUUGACUGCUGAAACCCUCACUUGUACAUUAUUUACCUCUACAUUGAACUCAUAGCUUGUCUCUAGCAUUUCAGUCAAUAUAGAUUUGAGGGUAUUCAAACUUUACCUGUGUUCUAACCCAAACAAAUCCUCAAUAACCAAGUCAUAUCUCUGUUUGCUGACAUACAUUGAUUCCACAUUGAGCAGCAUCACUAUUUUGAAAUUCACAAUCUUCCAAUCACUCCCUGAUCUCCCUUCCUAUUUCUGUAAUCACUCUCACAACUACAAACAAAAUAAUUGCACAUGUCCAACCUCUAAAAUUGGAUAAGUAUCUAGAAACUUUACCCACUCAAACAAUACAGAAUCUUCAAUUGCCAAAUCUGUAUGAUUCUCCCCAUAAAGCUUUCUCCCUCUCUAUUCUUUUUGAUAAUUUUAAGACAUAUAUAUUUGCCCAAGUUUAUCCACCAUAUGCUCAAGUAUCUCCUUAUGUGGGUUAUUUUGUUUUCUUUUAAAUGCUCCCAUGAAGCAUAUUGUUCAAUUAAUGACACUGAAAGUUGUGGUUUCUAUUUGGAUUCAGAAUAACUCUGGCUGCUCUUCUCUUUACAGGAUCGCAAUCUUGGCUGUAUUUCUGCCUGUUUCUUGUUCAGGGCCCCAACAGGAUUGUGUUUGUAUCAGGGCUGCAAGCAGGCCUUGCAAAGUCAGUUAUAAAACCCAAGUUGAUUUACUCAGGAAGUCCCAAGCAAAUAAUUUCCAUGGUUAUUUAUAAACAAAGCUGUGACAGAUUAACUUCUUUUACAGUAUAAGGUCAGCCACAGUGCAGAGGCAAAACAUACAAUAUUGCUCAAUAUUAAUACAUUUUAUUAGCCCCCAAUAAGACAAUGAAUUGCCUUAGAUGAGAAAGAGAUACAACCUCCUUUAAUGUUGAAUAAAGAUGGUGUUACAAAUGAAAUUGGACACAUGGAAGACAUUGUUAAACUAACAAGAAAGGGAUAAUUCACCCAAGGGUGUAAUUUGUUACUUUGGAUAUGGCUGCUUUAAUCUUGUGAUUAAAUAGAAGACAAAUUGAAGAGGGUUUAAAACAGAAUAUGUAAGUAUUGGGACUAAAGACAAGAAAGGGAAACUGGAGAAGAUGGACGGAUUUGGGGUAGGUUUCCUCAAAGUUGGAAUUGGCGAAAGGACUGUGCCUGGGGAAUAAAUUGUUGAUAUUAAUGGCUGGGGUCAAACCAGAAAGGGAAAUUGAGUAGAGGAGAUAAUGAAAGGAAGAGGUGUGUUUUGUGGUUAAAAUAAAGUAGGAAAUAUGAUGGGAUUGCAAAAAAAUGAGAUUGUAACAUGAGACCUUGUAAAUGAAGGAAUAUUUGUGGUAGAUGCUAUGAUUAAGUUGAUUUUAGAAUUUGAUGAUGAAAAGAAAGAUUGCUGGGGGAUUAUCAACAAUGAAAUUGGAGAAAAUGGGGCUGGUAAAGUUUAUGUUUUCUUAAUUACGGCAUGGUAACAGGCCACUUGGCCCAACGAGCCUGCGCCACCCAUGUGACCAAUUAACGUGUAAACUCGUACAUCUUUGGAAUGUGGGAGUGAAUUGCUUCACCUGAGGAAACCCAUGCCUUCUGCUUGCGAUGUUAAGAUAAACUUUAUAUUCUGUUUACCUUUGUAUAAUUAUAGUACAAUUUCUUUUAGACAGAGAGCUAGAUUUUCAGCAGUCCUAAAAUUAUUCAGCAUUUAGUGUAAGAUUAAGGGAAUAAAAAUAGCAGAUUCAUCUUAGUUUACUGGAAUUAUUAACAACCAACAUACCUAAGGAGGUAAAGAGAAAAAUUUUGCAAUAAAGCUAGUUUGGCACAAUUGCAUUAUGAGUACUCUUACAUAAUAAUUUUUUAUGAAGAACUACCUUUUCAUUUCUAAAUUGUCAUAGUCAGACAAAAUAAAAAAAGUCAGAUGUUAUAUCUAGCCAUAAAUAAUUAUUAAUAUUUUAAGGUUCCUGGCACUAUAUUUCCUUAAAAUUUUG